RNAcentral lists this unclassified non-coding RNA (384 nucleotides) under uncultured Planctomycetota bacterium. Its description in RNAcentral is "uncultured planctomycete contains 16S-23S intergenic spacer region". Lineage: Bacteria; Pseudomonadati; Planctomycetota. The record is from RNAcentral.
UCCGGUUUGACGCCGGCAGUCUCGCUAGAGUGCCCGGCUUGACCCGUUGGCAACUAACGACAGGGGUUUCGCUCGUUAGGGGACUUAACCCAACACCUCAAGGCACGAGCUGACGACAGCCAUGCAACACCUGUGCUGGUUACACCCGAAGGCAAUCCCCCCGCUUUCACGGGGUUAAUCCCAGCAUGUCAAACCCUGGUAAGGUUCUUCGCGUUGCUUCGAAUUGAGCAACAUCCUCCACCGCUUGUGUGAGCCCCCGUCAAUUCCUUUGAGUUUUAGCCUUGCGGCCGUACUCCCCAGGCGGGAUGCUUAAAGCGUUAGCUGCGGCACGGAGGGGGUCGACACCCCCCACACCUAGUGGCCAUCGUUUACAGCGUGGACUAC